RNAcentral lists this unclassified non-coding RNA (80 nucleotides) under Lysinibacillus fusiformis. The record is from RNAcentral. Lineage: Bacteria; Bacillati; Bacillota; Bacilli; Caryophanales; Bacillaceae.
GAUCGCCGUAUGCGAUGAAAGUCGCCUGUGCGGUGAAGGCUCGUUAUAAACCUAAAGAAAAAGAAGGAUAAGACGAGAAU